Esox lucius (northern pike) is the source of this 394-nucleotide long non-coding RNA. RefSeq lists it as uncharacterized. The transcript is spliced from 2 exons. The record is from RefSeq and is a predicted model, not a curated record. NCBI's taxonomy places the organism in Eukaryota, Metazoa, Chordata, Actinopteri, Esociformes, Esocidae.
CACAGUGGGCUCUACUGAAUGUACAGUAUCUCACAAAAUGAUUUCCACGACAAUGUGUCUUAUUUUGUGAGUGUGAGAUCCCUCAUUGACUCAGACACCCAAAUACACACUGAGCCUUCUGAUUAUGAGAAAUGAAGAGAACCUCCACAGAACCUGGACAGAAGAGAACCACCAAAGAACCUGGACUGAAGAGAACCACCACAGAACCUUGACUGAAGAGAACCACCACAGAACUGGCACCAAAUUCAAAGCCAGUUUUAAAAUAUCUAUUAUAUUUUUUUUAUUAUUCUACCCUAUAAUGAAGAUGUCCAGAUGAUAAGCUUAACUUAAAUGUGGAGGUGAAUUAUGUUUCAUAGUAAUGAUAAUAAAGUAUAUUGAUGAUUAGUUCUACAAA